GCAACGCUUGGCGGCGUGUCUACACAUGCAUUGUCGAUCGGGGUUAACAAUACCCAGAUGGCUGUCUGGUGCGCUAUCACGUGAGGAACAUGUCUUUCGGUGGGGGAUAGCCGGCCCAACGGCCGGGUAAUACCGCAUACGCUGACUUGAGCUCCUGCUCGAGUUCGGAAAGCAGCAAUGCGCCGAUUGAGUGCCUCGCGGCCUAUCAGCUAGUUGGUGAGGUAAUGGCUCACCAAGGCGACGACGGGUAGCUGGUCUGAGAGGAUGGCCAGCCACAUUGGGACUGAGACACGGCCCAGACUCCUACGGGAGGCAGCAGUGGGGAAUAUUGCUCAAUGGGCGAAAGCCUGACGCAGCGACGCCGCGUGUGGGAUGACGGCCUUCCGGUUGUAAACCACUGUCGGGAGGGACGAAGAUCUGACGGUACCUCCAAAGGAAGCACCGGCUAACUCUGUGCCAGCAUCCGCGGUAAUACAGAGGGUGCGAGCGUUGUCCGGAAUCACUGGGCGUAAAAGGCGCGUACGCUGCCCGAUAAGUACAGGGUGAAAUCUUGCGGCUCAACCGCAAGGCUGCCUUCUAAACUGUCGGGCUGGAGCACAGGUACAGGCAAAAGG
This 614-nucleotide ribosomal RNA is filed under the name uncultured bacterium. Its description in RNAcentral is "bacterial SSU rRNA". It matches the Rfam family "Bacterial small subunit ribosomal RNA", at positions 29 to 664 of the family's 1533-position model. The record is from RNAcentral.